This 68-nucleotide transfer RNA is filed under the name Marmota monax (woodchuck). Its description in RNAcentral is "tRNA.Ala". The record is from RNAcentral. Lineage: Eukaryota; Metazoa; Chordata; Mammalia; Rodentia; Sciuridae.
GGAUUAUGGCUCAGAGGCAGAGUGCUUGCCUUGCAUGUAUGAGGCACUGGGUUCAAUACUCAGCACCA